AUUGAACGCUGGCGGCAUGCUUUACACAUGCAAGUCGAACGGUAACAGGGUGCUUGCACCGCUGACGAGUGGCGAACGGGUGAGUAAUGCGUCGGAACGUGCCGAGUAGUGGGGGAUAACGCAGCGAAAGUUGUGCUAAUACCGCAUACGUACUGAGGUAGAAAGUGGGGGACCUUCGGGCCUCACGCUAUUCGAGCGGCCGACGUCUGAUUAGCUAGUAGGUGAGGUAAAGGCUCACCUAGGCGACGAUCAGUAGCGGGUCUGAGAGGAUGAUCCGCCACACUGGGACUGAGACACGGCCCAGACUCCUACGGGAGGCAGCAGUAGGGAAUUUUGGACAAUGGGCGAAAGCCUGAUCCAGCCAUGCCGCGUGUCCGAAGAAGGCCUUCGGGUUGUAAAGGACUUUUGUCAGGGAGGAAAUCCCUAGUGCUAAUAACACUGGGGGAUGACAGUACCUGAAGAAUAAGCACCGGCUAACUACGUGCCAGCCGCCGCGGUAA
Molecule: ribosomal RNA, 500 nt
Filed under: uncultured bacterium
Lineage: Bacteria
Description: partial 16S ribosomal RNA
Rfam family: Bacterial small subunit ribosomal RNA
Source: RNAcentral